GUCCAGCUGAGGCCCUCUUGGACAACACUUCCUCUCCUGCCCAUGGUGGGAGGUUGGGAAGGACAUUCCCCCAUUUCCAUUUGCUCUGCCAUUCAAAACCUUGUGAGGGCCCUCAGGGAAGAAUCCCUUUGCAGGUCAUAAACUGACCUGCAGAAUUAUGGGAUCUUAACUGUGGGGAGAGACCUAGAAGACCGGCUAGUGACCAGAUUCUCAUCUAACUCCUUUUUUUUUGCAGAUGAGGAAACUGAGGCCCCACGUGGUGAAGACAAUUUUUACCCGAAUCCACCCACAACAAGAGACCAUUUGGAUAAUGUACAUUAUGGGAAGAGAACAGAGUCUCAGUGAAGAUCAUGUUUCCCCAGCAACACAGGUGCCAGGAGUAGCUGGCUCUGGUCCCAGCCCAGACUCAGAAAUCCUGAGCCACCAGACCAUUUCUAGAUUAACAAUGACCCACUGGAAACCAGUGUCAGCAUAACAACAGUUACGAGAGCUAAACCUACAAAAUAGAACACAGGAGCUAUGUGGAGAGUUGAUGGAGGGACAUUCCAGGCAGAGAGAACAGCAAACACAAAGGCCUUGAAGGGAGCGGUGGCUUACAUCUGCAAUCCCACCACUUUGGGAGGCUGAGGCAGGUGGAUUGCUUGAUCUCAGGAGUUCGAGACCAGCCUGGGCAAUGUGGUGAAACCCAGUCUCUACCAAAAAAUACAAAAAUUAGCCGGGCAUGGUGAGCAUGCCUCUGGUCCCAGCUACCCAGGAGGCUGAGGUGGGAGAAUCACUUGAGCCUAGAAGGUCAAGGCUGCAGUGAGCCGUGAUUGAGCCACUGCAUUCCAGCCUGGGUGAUAGGGCUCAACACCACAUGGAAGCUGCCAAGGCUUGGGGCUCGCACCAUCUGAAGACAUGGUCUGAACUCUACGUUGGCCCUUUCAGCCAUGGCUGGAGCAGCUGGAACGCAGGGCAUCAAGUCUCUUGGCUGCACACAGCUCAGGGAAGCUGGACCUGGCCCAUGAAACCACUUUUUCUUCCUAUGCCUCCAGACCUGUGAUGGGAGGAGCUGCCAUGAAGACCUCUGACAUGCCCUAGAAACAUUUUCCCCAUUGUCUUAGGGAUUAACAUUCUGUGCCUUGUUGCUUAAGUAAAUUUCUGCCUCAUUGUCAGGCUGCAAAUUUUCUAAACUUUUAUGCUCUGUUUCCCUUUUAAUACUGAAUGCUUU
This 1210-nucleotide long non-coding RNA is filed under the name Homo sapiens (human). Its description in RNAcentral is "HSALNT0347442". Lineage: Eukaryota; Metazoa; Chordata; Mammalia; Primates; Hominidae. The record is from RNAcentral.